UGGGGAAUAUUGCACAAUGGAGGGAACUCUGAUGCAGCGACGCCGCGUGAGUGAUGAAGGAAUUCGUUUCGUAAAACUCUGUUCUAUGGGAAGAAAAGGACUGUACCAUAGGAGAAAGCUCCGGCUAAAUACGUUCCAGCAGCCGCGGUAAUACGUAUGGAGCGAGCGUUGUCCGGAAUUAUUGGGCGUAAAGGGUGCGCAGGCGGCUUUACAAGUUGGAUGUGAAAUAUUGUGGCUCAACCACAAACGUGCAUCCAAAACUGCAAAGCUUGAGUUAAGGAGAGGUAAGUGGAAUUCCGGGUGUAGCGGUGGAAUGCGUAGAUAUCAGGAGGAAUACCGGUGGCGAAGGCGACUUACUGGACUUAAACUGACGCUCAGGCACGAAAGCGUGGGGAGCAAACAGG
RNAcentral lists this ribosomal RNA (404 nucleotides) under Fusobacteriota bacterium. RNAcentral describes it as "Fusobacteria bacterium partial 16S ribosomal RNA". It matches the Rfam family "Bacterial small subunit ribosomal RNA", at positions 355 to 776 of the family's 1533-position model. Lineage: Bacteria; Fusobacteriati; Fusobacteriota. The record is from RNAcentral.